AGGCGUCAUAGUUGCAAGGAGACAAAGGCCGGUUCUGUGAAUGGAUUAUAAACCAGAGUCACACCCUCUACAAGGAGAAAUGAUGAAUUUCUUCCUGUUGGACAUCCGUGUUUUCAAGCUGUCUGACCUGAAUGGCACUACAAAAGACCUUGCUGACCAGGGUUUUUGAGGCUGAGUAAGGAGAAGGAAUGAUGCACGCUGUCUAGCUGAGUGUGGAUUAUCAUCCAUUUUAGUAAGCUUCCUAUAGUCCAUCAUGGCUGCAUUAGUGAGGGCUACAUGAAUGAUCAGGCAUUUGCAGCAUUAAAAUCUCAUUAAGAAUAAAAUAAGGGAAGUGAUUUCCUAGGAGAGACAGCAGGUGGUCUAUCAGCUCUGAAGGCUGAGUAUCAUUGAGGCUGGGCAAGGAAAGCAACUAUUUGGCAUGCUCAGAUCCCGAUCGUCCAAAAGGCUGUAAAAGUUCACCCCAAAAUCUAACACUCACACUUUGGGCAACCGACAAUGGCCAAUUAAUCUACCAACCAAUAUGUUCUUGAGAUGUCAGAGGAAACCAGAGCAACUGGAGAAAGUCCAUGCAGUCUCAGGGCUGUCGGGCAAACAGAACAUGGAGAGCACCAGAGGUCAGGUCUACUGGAGCUGAGGGGCAUCAGGCCUACCAAAGUUGUUGUUCUUUUGUCCCCAUUUAACAAAGGUGAAUCCCUUCGUGAAGGAUAACGGCUUCCAACUGAACAGAGUAGCUAUAUUUCAGAAUUUAAUCAAAAUCUGUGAGCAAAUUGCGUGAAAUGAUGUAGUUCUGUCGGAGUCUGUGAUCUACAGUUCAAACUACAGCUCUUUGCAAGCGAUGGGUUUCCGGACGGACUGUGCGGCUGGUGCUUCACUAUCUCCAGGAAGACAUGUGCCCUCAGGGCUGGGAGGUCGACGUUGGGGAGUGACCCCGUG
This is a long non-coding RNA of Mobula hypostoma (lesser devil ray), 933 nucleotides long. RefSeq lists it as uncharacterized. NCBI's taxonomy places the organism in Eukaryota, Metazoa, Chordata, Chondrichthyes, Myliobatiformes, Myliobatidae. The record is from RefSeq and is a predicted model, not a curated record. The transcript has 3 exons.